RNAcentral lists this non-coding RNA (30 nucleotides) under Homo sapiens (human). Lineage: Eukaryota; Metazoa; Chordata; Mammalia; Primates; Hominidae. The record is from RNAcentral.
UUUGAGUCUGCCCCUGAGUUCCAAAGGUUC